RNAcentral lists this ribosomal RNA (203 nucleotides) under uncultured bacterium. RNAcentral describes it as "partial 16S ribosomal RNA". It matches the Rfam family "Bacterial small subunit ribosomal RNA", at positions 1297 to 1500 of the family's 1533-position model. The record is from RNAcentral.
AUUGCAGGCUGNAACCCGCCUGCAUGAAGUCGGAAUUGCUAGUAAUCGCGGAUCAGCAUGCCGCGGUGAAUACGUUCCCGGGCCUUGUACACACCGCCCGUCACACCAUGGGAGCCGGUAAUACCCGAAGUCAGUAGUCCAACCACGUGAGGACGCUGCCGAAGGUAGGAUUGGCGACUGGGGUGAAGUCGUAACAAGGUAAC